This is a non-coding RNA of Pistacia vera, 74 nucleotides long. The record is from the annotation of a RefSeq genome assembly. NCBI's taxonomy places the organism in Eukaryota, Viridiplantae, Streptophyta, Magnoliopsida, Sapindales, Anacardiaceae.
ACUAGAAUAACUUAGUUGGUUAGAGCGUUUGGUUGUUAACCAAAAAGUUGGAGGUUCAAGCCCUCCUUCUAGUG